AGGGGCUGCUGGCUCACUGUUUUUUUUGGGAUGGUGGGAUACUCUUCUGUUUUUGAGCUAUGUUUUAAUCUCUAGAUGUAUAAACCCACUUGUGUAACUCUCCAGAGGACUAAAACCAGCUUGAUUGAAUGCUACGUAUGGCUUGGCAGCGUAGAUGCAGCAUUACCAAGACACUGAGCAGAGUUGUAUCAGAGUCACCUCUUUCAUCUGCAAAGGGUGCUUUGUGCAGUUGUGGAGAGGGAAGGGAAAUCUUCAUGUCAGGAAGCUCUGAGGGAAGGUGAGUGGUGUCAGCCUGGUCAUGCCUUAUCCGAAGCAAAGGGAAGACGCUCAGGUGUUUCCCUGUGAGGGUCCGAGGUGGCGUGGGUGAUGCUGGCCGCUCCUUUCAAGCUUGGACCUAAUUUGCAGGUCCAGAGGC
Molecule: non-coding RNA, 415 nt
Organism: Anas platyrhynchos (mallard)
Lineage: Eukaryota; Metazoa; Chordata; Aves; Anseriformes; Anatidae
Source: RefSeq, a predicted model, not a curated record